RNAcentral lists this long non-coding RNA (2556 nucleotides) under Amborella trichopoda. RNAcentral's name for it is "long non-coding RNA (ATRI_LNC000048)". Lineage: Eukaryota; Viridiplantae; Streptophyta; Magnoliopsida; Amborellales; Amborellaceae. The record is from RNAcentral.
UGACAUCAUCUUCCUGAAAAAUAGUCUGUUUUUAAUAAAUAGUGAUAUUUCCGUCCAGGAUCUUUAUUUUAUAAGUUUUGUGUGUAAGUGACAUCAUCUUCCUGAAAAAUAGUCUGUUUUUAAUAAUUAGUGAUAUUUACGUCGAGGAUUUUUAUUUUAUAAGUUUUAUGUGUAAGUGACAUCAUCUUCCUGAAAAAUAGUCUGUUUUUAAUAAAUAGUGAUAUUUUCGUCCAGGAUAUUUAUUUUAUAAGUUUUGUGUGUAAGUGACAUCGUUUUCCUAAAAAAUAGUCUGUUUUUAAUAAAUAGUGAUAUUUCCGUCCAGGAUCUUUAUUUUAUAAGUUUUGUGUGUAAGUGACAUCGUCUUCCUGAAAAAUAGUCUAUUUUUAAUAAAUAGUGAUACUUCCGUCUAGGAUCUUUAUUUUAUCAGUUUUAUGUGUAAGUGACCUCAUUGUCUCGAAAAAUAAUCCAUUAUUUUUAAAAAUAAAAUGAAAUAAUUAUUUCUGCUUAUUAUCAUGAAUUUUAGGUGCGAUAAAUUUUAUGCGCACACGACCUUAUUAUCUUGAAAAAUAAUCCUUUUAAUAAAAAUUGUGAUAUUUUAUCCAUGUUAUAAAUUUUAAAUGCUGUAAAUUCUUAGAAAAAAAAAUUUAUUUAUUUUUCUUGGCUAUUGUUAGAAAAUUUUAGAUACUAUCAAAUUAUUAGAAAUAAAUGGGAUAUUUCUGCUUUUAGUAAAAUUGUGAUAUUUCUUUCUACUGUUUUGAAUAUUUAGACAUUGUAAAAUUCAUGUGCAAAUGACUGCCUUAUUAUUUAAAAAUUGACAUUUUUGCAGUUGAUUAUAGUAUUGUUGUGAAAUGUUUAUUUGUGGAUUGGUAUCCCAUAAAUUGUGAUAAUUCUGUAUUCUUGAAUUUCUUUAAGAGUUUUUUUAUACAUAUUAAAUUGGCAAUUAUGCUAGAAUGCCUUUACAAACUGCUACCUUUCUAAAUUUGAGCCCAAAAUAUUUGAUUGGUUAUUUUUGAAAUGUUAUAGAGAGUGACUGUUAUUAAUGGUUUAAGUGAAAUUCAUAUUAAUGAUUUCAGUGAUAUGUUGAGUACAUGAUAUUGCUGCUUUCGAAUGUUUAAAGAGAUUUAUAAAUAAUUUAAGUAUGCAAGUGGACUCAUCCGGUUCGCCGGUGAGGUAUAAGUGAACCUAUCUGGGACGCCAGUAGGGAUUAAGUGGACUCAUCCGGUACGCCGGUGAGGUAUAAGUGGACCUACAGGGAUUAAGUAGACCUAUCUGGGACGCCGAUAGGGAUUAAGUGGACCCAUCAGGACGCUGAUGGGGUAUAUAGGUGAGCUACUUGGGACGCCAGUAGGGUAUUUUGUGAAAUCCUUUGAAUUAUGCACUGCCGUUAAAAGUGUUAUAAGCAUUUCAAUUACUUGGAUUAUACUUAAUUAUGCAUUUUUUAAAGUGAAACUGUCGAUGCAUUUCUGUUAAUAGAUCUCAUUUUGGAAAAUAUUGAUAUCUUUCAAUCAUGAUUAUUUUUAGGAUUAUGAUGAUCACUUACUGAGUAGCCAAACUCAUAAAACUAUGAUAAACAUUUUUCAGGAUAACUGCGGUUACAUUUGAGUGCUCGUCAGGAUCAACUUUGGGAAGAUAUUGAUGUUGUGCUUAAACUUUCUUUUGUUACUUCUUAAAAAUUCGCCAUUGUAAAUUUGUCCUAAAAAAUAUGUAUAUAUAUGUUUUGACUGCCACAUCUCAGGAAUAUCAGUAUUGUAAAUUCUUGGGGUGUGACAAUUAUGGUAUCAGAACAAUAGGUUUAAGAUUCUUAGGAAAUUUAAAAGUCUUUUUCAAAAAUCAGGUACACAAAUUUAGAUGACUAAAUUUCUUUAAGGGGGGACGAAUGUAACAAUCCUAAACUUUCAAAAAAAAAAAAAGAAAAUAAACUUUUAAUACAUGAUGAUUCGUUUGAACAUGAUGGUGUUUAGGGACCAUCGCUACUUUUCAAAGCUUUUGUUUAAAAGCUUUGUGUUUCCUUGCUCUUGCCACGUCCACUAAAGGACGUGGGCUUUAGGUGUUUAAAGCGAAAACUAACGCUCACACCUGUAACGUAAUAAAAGCUUGAGGUGUUUCAAGCGUAAACUAACGCUCACACCUGUAACGUAAUAAAAGAAUAAAAUAAUAUAUUAGUAGAAUUUAAAUUCAAAGAGGUGAAGACUCCUACCUUAGAAAACUUUUGAGAUUUUUUCUCUGGUCGAAACAUAGUGAACUCUUCUCUCGAGCCGAAUUUUUAUCGGAAGCUCCCUCUCAAAUAUUUGUGAGUAAGUGACAUCAUCUUUCUGAAAAAUAGUCUGUUUUUAAUAAAUAGUGAUAUUUCCGUCCAGGAUCUUUAUUUUAUAAGUUUUGUGUGUAAGUGACAUCAUCUUCCUGAAAAAUAGUCUGUUUUUAAUAAAUAGUGAUAUUUCCGCCGAGGAUCUUUAUUUUAUAAGUUUUGUGUGUAAGUGACAUCAUCUUCCUGAAAAAUAGUCUGUUUUUAAUAAAUAGUGAUAUUUCCGUCCAGGAUAUUUAUUUUAUAAGUUUUGU